Transfer RNA from Phanerochaete carnosa HHB-10118-sp, 92 nucleotides. It matches the Rfam family "tRNA". Rfam says of the family: Transfer RNA (tRNA) molecules are approximately 80 nucleotides in length. Their secondary structure includes four short double-helical elements and three loops (D, anti-codon, and T loops). NCBI's taxonomy places the organism in Eukaryota, Fungi, Basidiomycota, Agaricomycetes, Polyporales, Phanerochaetaceae. The record is from Rfam.
GGGCACUUGGCACAGUGGUAGCGCGCACGCUUUGCAUCUUGCAGUUGCUAUGCGAUUGCGUGAGGUCGGGAGUUCAAUCCUCCCAGUGUCCA